This 497-nucleotide ribosomal RNA is filed under the name uncultured bacterium. Its description in RNAcentral is "partial 16S ribosomal RNA". It matches the Rfam family "Bacterial small subunit ribosomal RNA", at positions 28 to 507 of the family's 1533-position model. The record is from RNAcentral.
GACGAACGCUGGCGGCGUGCCUAAUACAUGCCAGUUGAGCGAUGAAGAUUGGUGCUUGCACCAAUUUGAAGAGCAGCGAACGGGUGAGUAACGCGUGGGGAAUCUGCCUUUGAGCGGGGGACAACAUUUGGAAACGAAUGCUAAUACCGCAUAACAACUUUCAACAUAAGUUUUAAGUUUGAAAGAUGCAAUUGCAUCACUCAAAGAUGAUCCCGCGUUGUAUUAGCUAGUUGGUGAGGUAAAGGCUCACCAAGGCGAUGAUACAUAGCCGACCUGAGAGGGUGAUCGGCCACAUUGGGACUGAGAAACGGCCCAAACUCCUACGGGAGGCAGCAGUAGGGAAUCUUCGGCAAUGGACGAAAGUCUGACCGAGCAACGCCGCGUGAGUGAAGAAGGUUUUCGGAUCGUAAAACUCUGUUGGUAGAGAAGAACGUUGGUGAGAGUGGAAAGCUCAUCAAGUGACGGUAACUACCCAGAAAGGGACGGCUAACUACGUG